UGGGGUGUAGCCAAGCGGUAAGGCAGCGGCUUUUGAUGCCGCCAUGCGCUGGUUCGAAUCCAGCCACCCCAGCCA
This 75-nucleotide transfer RNA is filed under the name Gammaproteobacteria bacterium. Its description in RNAcentral is "tRNA-Gln". It matches the Rfam family "tRNA". Rfam says of the family: Transfer RNA (tRNA) molecules are approximately 80 nucleotides in length. Their secondary structure includes four short double-helical elements and three loops (D, anti-codon, and T loops). Further hydrogen bonds mediate the characteristic L-shaped molecular structure. tRNAs have two regions of fundamental functional importance: the anti-codon, which is responsible for specific mRNA codon recognition, and the 3' end, to which the tRNAs corresponding amino acid is attached (by aminoacyl-tRNA synthetases). tRNAs cope with the degeneracy of the genetic code in two manners: having more than one tRNA (with a specific anti-codon) for a particular amino acid; and 'wobble' base-pairing, i.e. permitting non-standard base-pairing at the 3rd anti-codon position. The record is from RNAcentral. Lineage: Bacteria; Pseudomonadati; Pseudomonadota; Gammaproteobacteria. RNAcentral also lists the same sequence under 1 other name.